RNAcentral lists this ribosomal RNA (450 nucleotides) under uncultured bacterium. RNAcentral describes it as "partial 16S ribosomal RNA". It matches the Rfam family "Bacterial small subunit ribosomal RNA", at positions 354 to 796 of the family's 1533-position model. The record is from RNAcentral.
GUGGGGAAUCUUCCGCAAUGGACGAAAGUCUGACGGAGCAACGCCGCGUGAGUGAAGAAGGUUUUCGGAUCGUAAAGCUCUUUCGUUAGGGACGAACGUGCUCUUUGUGAAUAAUGAGGAGUAAUGACGGUACCUAAAUAAGAAGCCACGGCUAACUACGUGCCAGCAGCCGCGGUAAUACGUAGGUGGCAAGCGUUGUCCGGAAUUAUUGGGCGUAAAGCGCGCGCAGGCGGGAUAUCAAGUCUGUCUUAAAAGUGCGAGGCUCAACCUCGUGAGGGGACAGAAACUGGUAUUCUUGAGUGUCAGAGAGGAAAGUGGAAUUCCAAGUGUAGCGGUGAAAUGCGUAGAGAUUUGGAAGAACACCAGUGGCGAAGGCGACUUUCUGGACGAUGUCUGACGCUGAGGCGCGAAAGCUAGGGGAGCGAACGGGAUUAGAUACCCCUGUAGUCC